RNAcentral lists this ribosomal RNA (458 nucleotides) under uncultured bacterium. Its description in RNAcentral is "bacterial SSU rRNA". It matches the Rfam family "Bacterial small subunit ribosomal RNA", at positions 28 to 499 of the family's 1533-position model. The record is from RNAcentral.
GACGAACGCUGGCGGCGCGCCUAACACAUGCAAGUCGAACGAGAGAGAGGGAGCUUGCUUCCUCAAUCGAGUGGCGAACGGGUGAGUAACGCGUGAGGAACCUGCCUCAAAGAGGGGGACAACAGUUGGAAACGACUGCUAAUACCGCAUAAGCCCACAGGUCGGCAUCGACCAGAGGGAAAAGGAGCAAUCCGCUUUGAGAUGGCCUCGCGUCCGAUUAGCUAGUUGGUGAGGUAAUGGCCCACCAAGGCAACGAUCGGUAGCCGGACUGAGAGGUUGAACGGCCACAUUGGGACUGAGACACGGCCCAGACUCCUACGGGAGGCAGCAGUGGGGAAUAUUGCACAAUGGGGGAAACCCUGAUGCAGCGACGCCGCGUGGAGGAAGAAGGUCUUCGGAUUGUAAACUCCUGUUGUUGAGGAAGAUAAUGACGGUACUCAACAAGGAAGUGACGGCUA